GUUUGAUCCUGGCUCAGAUUGAACGCUGGCGGCAGGCCUAACACAUGCAAGUCGAGCGGCAGCACGGGGAGCUUGCUCCCUGGUGGCGAGCGGCGGACGGGUGAGUAAUGCAUAGGAAUCUGCCCGGUAGUGGGGGAUAACGUGGGGAAACCCACGCUAAUACCGCAUACGUCCUACGGGAGAAAGCGGAGGAUCUUCGGACUUCGCGCUAUCGGAUGAGCCUAUGUCGGAUUAGCUGGUUGGUGAGGUAACGGCUCACCAAGGCGACGAUCCGUAGCUGGUCUGAGAGGAUGAUCAGCCACACUGGGACUGAGACACGGCCCAGACUCCUACGGGAGGCAGCAGUGGGGAAUAUUGGACAAUGGGCGAAAGCCUGAUCCAGCCAUGCCGCGUGUGUGAAGAAGGCUUUCGGGUUGUAAAGCACUUUCAGCGAGGAAGAAAGCCUUUGGGUUAAUACCCCAAAGGGAGGACAUCA
RNAcentral lists this ribosomal RNA (475 nucleotides) under Salinicola sp. RKBH-B105. RNAcentral describes it as "bacterial SSU rRNA". It matches the Rfam family "Bacterial small subunit ribosomal RNA", at positions 11 to 477 of the family's 1533-position model. The record is from RNAcentral. Lineage: Bacteria; Pseudomonadati; Pseudomonadota; Gammaproteobacteria; Oceanospirillales; Halomonadaceae.